UUUUUCAUAGGCGAUGGGGUUCCGCCUUACAACCGCCCAUUUUUGGUGCUGAUGACUCCUACUUCAAC
RNAcentral lists this non-coding RNA (68 nucleotides) under Belliella pelovolcani. Its description in RNAcentral is "Fluoride sequence". It matches the Rfam family "Fluoride riboswitch aptamer (crcB RNA motif)". The record is from RNAcentral. Lineage: Bacteria; Pseudomonadati; Bacteroidota; Cytophagia; Cytophagales; Cyclobacteriaceae.